RNAcentral lists this ribosomal RNA (472 nucleotides) under uncultured bacterium. Its description in RNAcentral is "bacterial SSU rRNA". It matches the Rfam family "Bacterial small subunit ribosomal RNA", at positions 28 to 507 of the family's 1533-position model. The record is from RNAcentral.
GAUGAACGCUGGCGGCGUGCUUAACACAUGCAAGUCGAACGAAGCACUUCAUAAAGCUUGCUUUAAGAAGUGACUUAGUGGCGGACGGGUGAGUAACGCGUGGGUAACCUGCCUUACACAGGGGGAUAACAGUUAGAAAUGACUGCUAAUACCGCAUAAAACAGCAGAGUCGCAUGACUCAACUGUCAAAGAUUUAUCGGUGUAAGAUGGACCCGCGUCUGAUUAGCUUGUUGGUGGGGUAACGGCCUACCAAGGCGACGAUCAGUAGCCGGCCUGAGAGGGUGAACGGCCACAUUGGGACUGAGACACGGCCCAAACUCCUACGGGAGGCAGCAGUGGGGAAUAUUGGACAAUGGGCGAAAGCCUGAUCCAGCGACGCCGCGUGAGCGAUGAAGUAUUUCGGUAUGUAAAGCUCUAUCAGCAGGGAAGAAAACGACGGUACCUGACUAAGAAGACCCCGGCUAACUACGUG